CGGGCCAGACCAGCUCGUGGUGGGGUCGCGCCGGGAAAGCUCGUGGAAGGGCACGCCGGCGUGGUUGCCCAGAUCCGUCGACGCGGGGUCGGGAGGGGCAGCACAAUGGGCGCAAGACGACCAGGGCGACGUUGGAGGUUGGCGGUCGGGGCGGGAGGGAGAAGGUGGGGGGAGGAGAGGGUCGGCCAUGGAGGGAAGGGAAGCGGGCCCGCACGGCCGUCGUGCUGCUGCUGGUGGUGGAACGCGGUGGCCGCGACCCAGAGCAGCGGCGCGCAGAGGAAGGCAGGGGCGAUGGGGGAGCUGCGGAUCGGGAGUCGCCGGGGAGAGGAUGCGGCGGCGCAGGGGAUGUGGCGGUUUGGGGCGCCGGCGCGAGGGAGGUUGCG
RNAcentral lists this ribosomal RNA (383 nucleotides) under Triticum aestivum (bread wheat). RNAcentral's name for it is "partial small subunit ribosomal RNA". Lineage: Eukaryota; Viridiplantae; Streptophyta; Magnoliopsida; Poales; Poaceae. The record is from RNAcentral.